CUACGGAGGAUGCAAGCGUUAUCCGGAUUUAUUGGGUUUAAAGGGUGCGUAGGCGGAUGAUUAAGCGUGAGGUGAAAUGCCACUGCUCAACAGUGGAACUGCCUCGCGAACUGGUUGUCUUGAAUGCUCCUGCCGUGGGAGGAAUGUGUGGUGUAGCGGUGAAAUGCAUAGAGAUCACACAGAACACCGAUUGCGAAGGCAUCUCACGAAGGGGUGAUUGACGCUGAGGCACGAAAGCGUGGGGAUCAAACAGGAUUAGAUACCCAGGUAGUCCACGCAGUAAACGAUGAUAACUAACCGCUGGGUCGUAGUGAUUCAGUGGCCAAGCGAAAGCGAUAAGUUAUCCACCUGGGGAGUACGACCGCAAGGUUGAAACUCAAAUGAAUUGACGGGG
RNAcentral lists this ribosomal RNA (394 nucleotides) under uncultured bacterium. RNAcentral's name for it is "partial 16S ribosomal RNA". It matches the Rfam family "Bacterial small subunit ribosomal RNA", at positions 523 to 918 of the family's 1533-position model. The record is from RNAcentral.